AAUUAAUCGAAAAUGAAAAUGACAGACAUGAACCAACAACAACCAGUGAACUACAUGCUCCUGACUUGGGACAGGCACAUAAUGAGUGUGGCAGGGUUAAACGUGUUUGUGAGCGCUGAACCUUUCCCCCUUAUCUGGGAUAGUGACAUAACAGCACCUAUAAAAAUCAGUGGAAAGCUUAAAGUUAUCAGUUUUGUUGAUUUAGAAUGCAUUCAAGAAAAGGAUUGUCCAUUUAAAGUUGCCCGAAAUCUGACACCUCCUUUUCAGCACCCAUGACAUGACUUAGCCCAGUAUUCCAACAAGGGGCAAAUAUAUGUGUAGACCUUUU
Molecule: long non-coding RNA, 328 nt
Filed under: Mytilus galloprovincialis (Mediterranean mussel)
Lineage: Eukaryota; Metazoa; Mollusca; Bivalvia; Mytilida; Mytilidae
Source: RNAcentral